GUCAACUACCCCCGUCUAAAGACGGAGGCAUGAAGCCUUGGAGUUGACCAGCCUCAGCCCGUACCGCAAGGUCAAUGGGCUACGUUAUCCCGGUCAUGGCACCCCGGGGUGCUUGGGCCAGCUUCGGGCAACUGCCGUCCGGCAUUAAACAGGCAUACGGGGUUGAAGCCAGUGUGCCGGACAGGACAAGCCGGGAUAACAUUGGCGAGGCCCACAUUAC
Molecule: non-coding RNA, 220 nt
Organism: Caldalkalibacillus thermarum TA2.A1
Lineage: Bacteria; Bacillati; Bacillota; Bacilli; Caryophanales; Bacillaceae
Rfam family: HNH endonuclease-associated RNA and ORF (HEARO) RNA
Source: Rfam